This is a non-coding RNA of Arabidopsis thaliana x Arabidopsis arenosa, 105 nucleotides long. The record is from the annotation of a GenBank genome assembly. NCBI's taxonomy places the organism in Eukaryota, Viridiplantae, Streptophyta, Magnoliopsida, Brassicales, Brassicaceae.
AAGCCAUGAUGAGGGCAUUUGGUUUGAUAAACUUUGAAGCGUUCCCAAGCUUCACAAAAGGUUUCCGUUUGCUUGAGUGAAUCUGGAUAUCUCAUUCCAGAGUCU